UUGCUUCCGCAGCACAUGUACUAAAACUGGAAAGAUACAGAGAUUAGCAUGGCCCCUGAGCAAGGAUGACAUGCAAAUUCAUGAAGCAUUCCAUAUUUUU
Molecule: small nuclear RNA, 100 nt
Filed under: Catagonus wagneri (Chacoan peccary)
Lineage: Eukaryota; Metazoa; Chordata; Mammalia; Artiodactyla; Tayassuidae
Source: RNAcentral